RNAcentral lists this non-coding RNA (21 nucleotides) under Caenorhabditis elegans. The record is from RNAcentral. Lineage: Eukaryota; Metazoa; Nematoda; Chromadorea; Rhabditida; Rhabditidae.
UUUUAUGGCCAUAUGAAAAAG